CCUACGGGAGGCAGCAGGGGGGAAUAUUGGACAAUGGGCGGAAGCCUGAUCCAGCAACGCCGCGUGAGGGAUGACGGCCUUCGGGUUGUAAACCUCUUUCACCAUUGACGAAGUUGCCUGUUUUUGCAGGUGGUGACGGUAGGUGGGGAAGAAGCACCGGCCAACUACGUGCCAGCAGCCGCGGUAAUACGUAGGGUGCGAGCGUUGUCCGGAAUUAUUGGGCGUAAAGGGCUCGUAGGCGGUUUGUCGCGUCGGGAGUGAAAACCAUGGGCUUAACUCAUGGCUUGCUUUCGAUACGGGCAGACUUGAGGUAUGCAGGGGAGAACGGAAUUCCUGGUGUAGCGGUGAAAUGCGCAGAUAUCAGGAGGAACACCGGUGGCGGAGGCGGUUCUCUGGGCAUGAUCUGACGCUGAGGAGCGAAAGUGUGGGGAGCGAACAGGAUUAGAUACCCUGGUAGUCCACACCGUAAACGUUGGGCGCUAGGUGUGGGAUCCACUCUACGGUCGUCGCGCNGCUACGCAUAGCGCCCGCCGUCGGGAGGUACGGCCGGCGACGGACGUAAACCUACGAAACGGAAGUAGACGGCGUGAGACGUCGCCGACGGACGACGACGAGGGAGGUUAGG
Molecule: ribosomal RNA, 625 nt
Filed under: uncultured bacterium
Lineage: Bacteria
Description: bacterial SSU rRNA
Rfam family: Bacterial small subunit ribosomal RNA (bases 1-532)
Source: RNAcentral